GACGAACGCUGGCGGCGUGCUUAACACAUGCAAGUCGAACGGAAAGGCCCUGCUUUUGUGGGUUGCUCGUUUGGCGAACGGGUGAGUAACACGCGAGUAACCUGCCCUUGUCUUUGGGAUAUCUUUACGAAACUCGGGCUCAUACCGGAUAGGAGCUCCUGCUGCAUGGUGGGGGAUGGAAAGUUUCGGCGGUGCGGGAUGGACUCGCUGCUUAUGAGCUUGUUUGUGGGGUAGUUGCUUACCAAGGCUUUGACGGAUAGCCUGCCUGAGAGGGCGACCGGCGACAUGGGGACUGAGGUACGGAGCAGACUCCUACGGGAGGCAGCAGUGGGGAAUAUUGCACAAUGGGCGGAAGCCUGAUGCAGCAACGCCGCGUGCGGGAUGACGGCCUUCGGGUUGUAAACCGAUUUCGCCUGUGACGAAGCGUGAGUGACGGUAAUGGGUAAGGAAGCACCGGCUAACUACGUG
RNAcentral lists this ribosomal RNA (468 nucleotides) under uncultured bacterium. RNAcentral's name for it is "partial 16S ribosomal RNA". It matches the Rfam family "Bacterial small subunit ribosomal RNA", at positions 28 to 507 of the family's 1533-position model. The record is from RNAcentral.